This 453-nucleotide ribosomal RNA is filed under the name uncultured bacterium. Its description in RNAcentral is "bacterial SSU rRNA". It matches the Rfam family "Bacterial small subunit ribosomal RNA", at positions 354 to 796 of the family's 1533-position model. The record is from RNAcentral.
GUGGGGAAUAUUGCGCAAUGGGCGAAAGCCUGACGCAGCGACGCCGCGUGAGUGAUGAAGGCCUUCGGGUCGUAAAGCUCUGUUGGGUGGGAAAGAAAGAUUUCGGAGAAUAACACCUCCGAUUUCAGACGGUACUCGCCCAGAAAGCACCGGCUAACUCCGUGCCAGCAGCCGCGGUAAUACGGAGGGUGCAAGCGUUGUUCGGAAUCAUUGGGCGUAAAGCGCGUGUAGGCGGGAAGGCGUGUCGGGUGUGAAAGCCCUGGGCUCAACCGAGGAUUGGCGCCCGAAACUGCCUUUCUUGAGUACGGGAGAGGGAAGCGGAAUUUCCAGUGUAGAAGUGAAAUUCGUAGAUAUUGGAAGGAACACCGGUGGCGAAGGCGGCUUCCUGGACCGAUACUGACGCUGAGACGCGAAAGCGUGGGGAGCAAACAGGAUUAGAUACCCGAGUAGUCC